GCGUCACUUACGAUAUCAACUUGGCAGCCAUUUCCGUAGAAGAAUUGGAAGAAAUGGCAACUUCCUGCGGUAUGAAAUUUCCAGUAACUAACACACUAAUAUAAUCACUGCUUCAGCAUGUUUUCUUCAGUUUAAAUUCUAUUUUGCAAUGCAAUCAUUGCUGCAUUCUCUUUUACUAUUUUAUAGGAGGCCUCUGAAGCAUCGUUCUUGUGCAAAAUUUUAAGUAAUUUAUCCAAGUCCUCCUAAAAAAUUUAAUUGAAAAAUUAGUAGUGGUAUUUCUUGAAGAAAAUAAGGUACAUAUGAGUGAAAAUUUGAGAACACUGCAAUCAAUAUUCACGGUUUUAUAGUCUCACUGUCAAAAUGAAGAGUCGUACCUCAUAUUUUAGCUUCAUUUUUAGAGUGUGCUGCAUGGAGAUAGAUCUUCAUUUUUUGUUUAACAUAAGAUUUUUUAUUUUGCACUGCAGGCAAAGAACUCACAGCUCCACACGAAGUGACAACUUCAAAAAUCGGAAACUCAGUUGCUGCUCCAAGGGUGCUGUUUUCUAAUGCCAUCCCAAGAAUGCCAGAAAAUCUCAACUCUCACCCAAGAAUGCCUACUGCUCCUAUUUUGUUGGAUUAAAAAAAAACUUGCCCUAGACCGUUGAAUCCGCUUCCAAGAAUGUCAUUACAUUCUAAGAAAGAUCUAGUCAAAGAUAAAAAACAUUCCCCCGAAGGAGACACAGAAAAGGUUUCAGGAAAGGUUGCAACAAAAAGAGCAGCAGGGAAAGAAAAUUCAGUGUCACCACCAUCAGCAGGAAAAAAUAAAAAGCCACUACGAAUGCAUGAUGCCUACAUUGAAUCUUCUAAAAUGUUUACAAAUGGUUUGGAUGAAAUGCGGAGGACAAAAGAGGACAACGUCUCUGCAAUUAAAGAGCUGACAGAAGCAGCCAGAAAUCUUACCAAUGCCAUUUUGAAACUGGCGGAAGUAGGAGAAAAAUUUGUCAGCUUCCUCAGCACAGACGGAAAUAACAACAAUUGUGACGAUUAG
This 1027-nucleotide long non-coding RNA is filed under the name Bemisia tabaci. Its description in RNAcentral is "lncRNA ENSASIAIIG011963". Lineage: Eukaryota; Metazoa; Arthropoda; Insecta; Hemiptera; Aleyrodidae. The record is from RNAcentral.